GCCUGGGUGGCUCAGUCGGUUAAGCGUCUGACUUUGGCUCAGGUCAUGAUCUCGCGGUCCGUGAGUUCGAGCCCCGCAUCAGGCU
Molecule: transfer RNA, 85 nt
Filed under: Felis catus (domestic cat)
Lineage: Eukaryota; Metazoa; Chordata; Mammalia; Carnivora; Felidae
Rfam family: tRNA
About the family: Transfer RNA (tRNA) molecules are approximately 80 nucleotides in length. Their secondary structure includes four short double-helical elements and three loops (D, anti-codon, and T loops). Further hydrogen bonds mediate the characteristic L-shaped molecular structure. tRNAs have two regions of fundamental functional importance: the anti-codon, which is responsible for specific mRNA codon recognition, and the 3' end, to which the tRNAs corresponding amino acid is attached (by aminoacyl-tRNA synthetases). tRNAs cope with the degeneracy of the genetic code in two manners: having more than one tRNA (with a specific anti-codon) for a particular amino acid; and 'wobble' base-pairing, i.e. permitting non-standard base-pairing at the 3rd anti-codon position.
Source: Rfam by way of RNAcentral